Molecule: ribosomal RNA, 477 nt
Filed under: Salmonella enterica
Lineage: Bacteria; Pseudomonadati; Pseudomonadota; Gammaproteobacteria; Enterobacterales; Enterobacteriaceae
Description: bacterial SSU rRNA
Rfam family: Bacterial small subunit ribosomal RNA
Source: RNAcentral
ACUGGCAGGCUUGAGUCUUGUAGAGGGGGGUAGAAUUCCAGGUGUAGCGGUGAAAUGCGUAGAGAUCUGGAGGAAUACCGGUGGCGAAGGCGGCCCCCUGGACAAAGACUGACGCUCAGGUGCGAAAGCGUGGGGAGCAAACAGGAUUAGAUACCCUGGUAGUCCACGCCGUAAACGAUGUCUACUUGGAGGUUGUGCCCUUGAGGCGUGGCUUCCGGAGCUAACGCGUUAAGUAGACCGCCUGGGGAGUACGGCCGCAAGGUUAAAACUCAAAUGAAUUGACGGGGGCCCGCACAAGCGGUGGAGCAUGUGGUUUAAUUCGAUGCAACGCGAAGAACCUUACCUGGUCUUGACAUCCACAGAACUUUCCAGAGAUGGAUUGGUGCCUUCGGGAACUGUGAGACAGGUGCUGCAUGGCUGUCGUCAGCUCGUGUUGUGAAAUGUUGGGUUAAGUCCCGCAACGAGCGCAACCCUUAU